This 331-nucleotide ribosomal RNA is filed under the name uncultured Thelephoraceae. RNAcentral describes it as "eukaryotic LSU rRNA". It matches the Rfam family "Eukaryotic large subunit ribosomal RNA", at positions 1 to 323 of the family's 3401-position model. Lineage: Eukaryota; Fungi; Basidiomycota; Agaricomycetes; Thelephorales; Thelephoraceae. The record is from RNAcentral.
UCGAUCUCAAAUCAGGUAGGAUUACCCGCUGAACUUAAGCAUAUCAAUAAGCGGAGGAAAAGAAACUAACAAGGAUUCCCCUAGUAACUGCGAGUGAAGCGGGAAGAGCUCAAAUUUAAAAUCUGGCGUGCCUCUGGUCGUCCGAGUUGUAGUCUGAAGAAGCGCUUUCCGUGUUGGACCGUGUAUAAGUCUCUUGGAACAGGGCGUCAUAGAGGGUGAGAAUCCCGUCUUUGACACGGACUACCAAUGCUUUGUGAUGCGCUCUCAAAGAGUCGAGUUGUUUGGGAAUGCAGCUCAAAAUGGGUGGUAAAUUCCAUCUAAAGCUAAAUAU